CGGGGCGUAGCUCAGUCUGGUAGAGUGCUUGCUUUGGGAGCAAGAUGCCGGGGGUUCGAAUCCUCUCGCCCCGA
Transfer RNA from Haematospirillum jordaniae, 74 nucleotides. It matches the Rfam family "tRNA". Rfam says of the family: Transfer RNA (tRNA) molecules are approximately 80 nucleotides in length. Lineage: Bacteria; Pseudomonadati; Pseudomonadota; Alphaproteobacteria; Rhodospirillales; Novispirillaceae. The record is from Rfam.